Molecule: ribosomal RNA, 1342 nt
Filed under: uncultured bacterium
Lineage: Bacteria
Description: 16S ribosomal RNA
Rfam family: Bacterial small subunit ribosomal RNA
Source: RNAcentral
GACGAACGCUUGCGGCGUGCUUAACACAUGCAAGUCGAACGGAAAGGCCCUGCUUUUGUGGGGUGCUCGAGUGGCGAACGGGUGAGUAACACGUGAGUAACCUGCCCUUGACUUUGGGAUAACCUCAGGAAACUGGGGCUAAUACCGGAUAGGAGCUCCUGCUGCAUGGUGGGGGUUGGAAAGUUUCGGCGGUUGGGGAUGGACUCGCGGCUUAUCAGCUUGUUGGUGGGGUAGCGGCUUACCAAGGCUUUGACGGGUAGCCGGCCUGAGAGGGUGACCGGCCACAUUGGGACUGAGAUACGGCCCAGACUCCUACGGGAGGCAGCAGUGGGGAAUAUUGCACAAUGGGCGGAAGCCUGAUGCAGCAACGCCGCGUGCGGGAUGACGGCCUUCGGGUUGUAAACCGCUUUCGCCUGUGACGAAGCGUGAGUGACGGUAAUGGGUAAAGAAGCACCGGCUAACUACGUGCCAGCAGCCGCGGUGAUACGUAGGGUGCGAGCGUUGUCCGGAUUUAUUGGGCGUAAGGGCUCGUAGGUGGUUGAUCGCGUCGGAAGUGUAAUCUUGGGGCUUAACCCUGAGCGUGCUUUCGAUACGGGUUGACUUGAGGAAGGUAGGGGAGAAUGGAAUUCCUGGUGGAGCGGUGGAAUGCGCAGAUAUCAGGAGGAACACCAGUGGCGAAGGCGGUUCUCUGGGCCUUUCCUGACGCUGAGGAGCGAAAGCGUGGGGAGCGAACAGGCUUAGAUACCCUGGUAGUCCACGCUGUAAACGGUGGGUACUAGGUGUGGGGUCCAUUCCACGGGUUCCGUGCCGUAGUUAACGCUUUAAGUACCCCGCCUGGGGAGUACGGCCGCAAGGCUAAAGCUCAAAGGAAUUGACGGGGCCCCGCACAAGCGGCGGAGCAUGCGGAUUAAUUCGAUGCAACGCGUAGAACCUUACCUGGGUUUGACAUGGAUCGGGAGUGCUCAGAGAUGGGUGUGCCUCUUUUGGGGUCGGUUCACAGGUGGUGCAUGGCAGUCGUCAGCUCGUGUCGUGAGAUGUUGGGUUAAGUCCCGCAACGAGCGCAACCCUUGUUCACUGUUGCCAGCACGUUAUGGUGGGGACUCAGUGGAGACCGCCGGGGUCAACUCGGAGGAAGGUGGGGAUGACGUCAAGUCAUCAUGCCCCUUAUGUCCAGGGCUUCACGCAUGCUACAAUGGCUGGUACAGAGAGUGGCGAGCCUGUGAGGGUGAGCGAAUCUCGGAAAGCCGGUCUCAGUUCGGAUUGGGGUCUGCAACUCGACCUCAUGAAGUCGGAGUCGCUAGUAAUCGCAGAUCAGCAACGCUGCGGUGAAUACGUUCCCGGG